Molecule: transfer RNA, 75 nt
Filed under: Rickettsiales endosymbiont of Peranema trichophorum
Lineage: Bacteria; Pseudomonadati; Pseudomonadota; Alphaproteobacteria; Rickettsiales
Description: tRNA-Gly
Rfam family: tRNA
About the family: Transfer RNA (tRNA) molecules are approximately 80 nucleotides in length. Their secondary structure includes four short double-helical elements and three loops (D, anti-codon, and T loops).
Source: RNAcentral
GCGGGUGUAGCUCAGGGGUAGAGUACGACCUUGCCAAGGUUGGGGUCGAGGGUUCGAAUCCCUUCACCCGCUCCA